GAUGAAGAACGCAGCGAAAUGCGAUAAGUAAUGUGAAUUGCAGAAUUCAGUGAAUCAUCGAAUCUUUGAACGCACAUUGCGCCCGCCAGUAUUCUGGCGGGCAUGCCUGUCUGAGCGUCAUUUCGACCCUCAUGCCCCUAGGGCGUGGUGUUGGGGAUCGGCCAAAGCCCGCGAGGGACGGCCGGCCCCUAAAUCUAGUGGCGGACCCGUCGUGGCCUCCUCUGCGAAGUAGUGAUAUUCCGCAUCGGAGAGCGAUGAGCCCCUGCCGUUAAACCCCCAACUUUCCAAGGUUGACCUCAGAUCAGGUAGGAAUACCCGCUGAACUUAAGCAUAUCAAUAAGCGGAGGA
RNAcentral lists this unclassified non-coding RNA (348 nucleotides) under soil metagenome. RNAcentral describes it as "partial contains 5.8S ribosomal RNA, internal transcribed spacer 2, and large subunit ribosomal RNA". The stretch from base 1 to 120 matches the Rfam family "5.8S ribosomal RNA", at positions 35 to 154 of the family's 154-position model. The record is from RNAcentral.